GACGUAGGGCGCGAGCGUUGUCCGGAUUUAUUGGGCGUAAAGAGCUCGUAGGCGGCUUGUCGCGUCGACUGUGAAAUCCCGCGGCUCAACUGCGGGUCUGCAGUCGAUACGGGCAGGCUAGAGUUCGGUAGGGGAGACUGGAAUUCCUGGUGUAGCGGUGAAAUGCGCAGAUAUCAGGAGGAACACCGGUGGCGAAGGCGGGUCUCUGGGCCGAUACUGACGCUGAGGAGCGAAAGCGUGGGGAGUGAACAGG
RNAcentral lists this ribosomal RNA (253 nucleotides) under uncultured bacterium. RNAcentral describes it as "partial 16S ribosomal RNA". It matches the Rfam family "Bacterial small subunit ribosomal RNA", at positions 524 to 776 of the family's 1533-position model. The record is from RNAcentral.